CAACAAGCUCUAACAAGCUGUGUCACCUGGAAGCUGAAGUGAAGCACGGAGCUCCUUUUCUACACGGACCUGCUGAGGACAGAAGAGAGCUGCUCACUGAGGAACUUCAUGUCUACAAGAUCAGACAUUUUACCCAGUAAAAACAGCUCAGACUCAGUCGACCAGUCAGCCUGCAUACUUUGCUGGUGACGUGAGGACACACCCUCUGUGAUGAAGAACAACAAGCUCUAACAAGCUGCGUCACCUGGAAGGUGAAGUGAAGCACGGAGCUCCUUUUCUACACGGACCUGCUGAGGACAGAAGAGAGCUGCUCACUGAGGAACUUCAUGUCUACAAGAUCACUUGUAGUCGACCUUUUACUAACUGAUCACAUGGUGAAGUGAACCGUCCAUCAGGAGAGAGCUUUCCCGUGUUUCCAUGGUAACCAGUGUGUCACCUUACUGGUCUGUUUCACUGACUUCUGGACUCUGAAGGACAUCAAGAGGAGAAACAGCACAGCGCCAUCUGCUGGAAGACGAGUGAUCAUGUUCACCUGGUAAAACACGACAUUUACAGGAUGAGCGUUUAUAAUGACGUCUCUUGUUAAGAGGGUUUAAAGAAGGAAAAGGACGUUCCUCUUUCUCCAGAAGUCUAAACUAUUUUGUGGUCAGACGUGACACGAAGCAUCGCAGAGCGUAAAC
Molecule: long non-coding RNA, 680 nt
Organism: Gasterosteus aculeatus aculeatus (three-spined stickleback)
Lineage: Eukaryota; Metazoa; Chordata; Actinopteri; Perciformes; Gasterosteidae
Source: Ensembl